Molecule: small RNA, 763 nt
Filed under: Pan troglodytes (chimpanzee)
Lineage: Eukaryota; Metazoa; Chordata; Mammalia; Primates; Hominidae
Description: retained intron
Source: RNAcentral
UGUUUUUUCUUUUUCUUUUUUUUGACUAAUUUGGUUAUUUGCCAUUUCUGGGGAUUAAACUUUAAAAAAUGUUCUUCUUUUCUGUAUCUGAUGUUCUGUGUGCUAUUAGUGAUGCAGCCAACACGAACGGUUGUCAUGUGUAACACAACUUUCGAUCACCGCGAAAACACCGUCCUGGGAAAGCGUCCAUGCUUGAUAUCGUUUGGUUCAUGAACAUUAAGUUUCCAGUACAGGUGACCCAUAGCUCAAAGUGUUAAAUAAUUGUCUACAUUAUUCAAUUUUUAAAAUAAUAUUCCAUUAAUGAGAUUGUUAAUAUUUGAAGUUUUGCUCACUUUUAUUUUUCCUAGUAGAGCAGGAUAAAAGGAAAGACUUAAGUUCUUAUUUAUUUCUUUAUACAGAUCUGAUAGAUAGAUUCAUUUAUUAUUAUUAUUUUUUAACUGCAAGGGUAAUUGUAAAAUCAUAGUGUAAAGUUUGUGUGGUGUUUCUGCUUUUUGUAAUGUUUGGAACUUGCCUCUGCAGGUAAAAUCCCAGAGGAAUCCAAAGCCCUCUCUUUAUUGGCUCCUGCUCCAACCAUGACAAGUCUGAUGCCUGGUGCAGGAUUGCUUCCAAUACCGACCCCAAAUCCUUUGACUACUCUUGGUGUUUCACUUAGCAGUUUAGGAGCUAUACCAGCAGCAGCACUAGACCCCAACAUUGCAACACUUGGAGAGAUACCACAGCCACCACUUAUGGGAAACGUGGAUCCUUCCAAAAUAGAUGAAAU